Molecule: ribosomal RNA, 253 nt
Filed under: uncultured bacterium
Lineage: Bacteria
Description: partial 16S ribosomal RNA
Rfam family: Bacterial small subunit ribosomal RNA
Source: RNAcentral
UACGUAGGGGGCAAGCGUUAUCCGGAUUUACUGAGUGUAAAGGGGGCGCAGACGGCAAUGCAAGCCAGGAGUGAAAGCCCGGGGCCCAACCCCGGGACUGCUCUUGGAACUGCAUGGCUGGAGUACAGGAGGGGCAGGCGGAAUUCCUAGUGUAGCGGUGAAAUGCGUAGAUAUUAGGAGGAACACCGGUGGCGAAGGCGGCCUGCUGGACUGUGACUGACGUUGAGGCCCGAAGGCGUGGGGAGCAAACAGG